This 497-nucleotide ribosomal RNA is filed under the name uncultured bacterium. Its description in RNAcentral is "partial 16S ribosomal RNA". It matches the Rfam family "Bacterial small subunit ribosomal RNA", at positions 28 to 507 of the family's 1533-position model. The record is from RNAcentral.
GAUGAACGCUAGCGGCGUGCCUAAUACAUGCAAGUCGAGCGAGCGGACGAGAAGCUUGCUUCUCUGAUGUUAGCGGCGGACGGGUGAGUAACACGUGGAUAACCUACCUAUAAGACUGGGAUAACUUCGGGAAACCGUAGCUAAUACCGGAUAAUAUUUUGAACCGCAUGGUUCAAAAGUGAAAGACGGUCUUGCUGUCACUUAUAGAUGGAUCCGCGCUGCAUUAGCUAGUUGGUAAGGUAACGGCUUACCAAGGCAACGAUGCAUAGCCGACCUGAGAGGGUGAUCGGCCACACUGGAACUGAGACACGGUCCAGACUCCUACGGGAGGCAGCAGUAGGGAAUCUUCCGCAAUGGGCGAAAGCCUGACGGAGCAACGCCGCGUGAGUGAUGAAGGUCUUCGGAUCGUAAAACUCUGUUAUUAGGGAAGAACAUAUGUGUAAGUAACUGUGCACAUCUUGACGGUACCUAAUCAGAAAGCCACGGCUAACUACGUG